RNAcentral lists this ribosomal RNA (465 nucleotides) under Vreelandella stevensii. Its description in RNAcentral is "partial 16S ribosomal RNA". It matches the Rfam family "Bacterial small subunit ribosomal RNA", at positions 338 to 795 of the family's 1533-position model. The record is from RNAcentral. Lineage: Bacteria; Pseudomonadati; Pseudomonadota; Gammaproteobacteria; Oceanospirillales; Halomonadaceae.
CCUACGGGUGGCUGCAGUGGGGAAUAUUGGACAAUGGGCGAAAGCCUGAUCCAGCCAUGCCGCGUGUGUGAAGAAGGCCUUCGGGUUGUAAAGCACUUUCAGUGGGGAAGAAAGCCUUGGGGCUAAUACCCUCGAGGAAGGACAUCACCCACAGAAGAAGCACCGGCUAACUCCGUGCCAGCAGCCGCGGUAAUACGGAGGGUGCGAGCGUUAAUCGGAAUUACUGGGCGUAAAGCGCGCGUAGGCGGUCUGAUAAGCCGGUUGUGAAAGCCCCGGGCUCAACCUGUGAACGGCAUCCGGAACUGUCAGGCUAGAGUGCAGGAGAGGAAGGUAGAAUUCCCGGUGUAGCGGUGAAAUGCGUAGAGAUCGGGAGGAAUACCAGUGGCGAAGGCGGCCUUCUGGACUGACACUGACGCUGAGGUGCGAAAGCGUGGGUAGCAAACAGGAUUAGAUACCCUAGUAGUC